This 1680-nucleotide long non-coding RNA is filed under the name Cyanistes caeruleus (blue tit). RNAcentral describes it as "lncRNA (ENSCCEG00000001825.1)". The record is from RNAcentral. Lineage: Eukaryota; Metazoa; Chordata; Aves; Passeriformes; Paridae.
UUUUUUGUGCAUUUUUCGGGAUUUUUUGUGAAUUUUUUGUGGCACAAAGACGAUGAAGAUGAAGAUGAUGAUGAAGAUGAAGACGAAGCAGAGGAAGAGGAGGCCGAGGAAGGCCCCGGGCAGGCGCGCCGAGCGCACGGCGUGGGUGCCGAAGAUGAAGAUGAAGAUGAAGAAGAUGAAGAUGAAGAAGAUGAAGAUGAAGAAGAUGAAGAUGAAAAUGAAGAAGAUGAAGAAAAGGAAGAAGAGGAAGAGGAAGAAGAGGAAGAUGAAGGUGAAGAUGAAGAAAAUGAGGAGCAUGAUAAUGAAGAUGAAAACGAAGAUGAGGAAGAUGAAGUUGAAGACGAAGAUGAUGAAGAUGAUAAAGAUGAAGAUGAAAAAGAUGGAAAUGAAGAAGAUUAAGAAGAUGAAGAUGAAAAAGAUGAAGAAGAUGAAGAAGAUGAAGGUGAAGAUGAAGAAGAUGAAGAUGAAGGUGAAGAUGAAGAUGAAGAUGAUGAAGAUGAUGAAGACAAAGAUGAGGAACAUGAAGAUGAAGAUGAUAAAGAUGAAAAUGAUAAAGAUGGAGGUAAAGAGGAAGAUGAUGAAGAUGAAGAUGGAAAUGAAGAGGAAGAUGAAGAUGAAGAUGAAGAAGAUGAAGAAGGUGAAGAAGGUGAAGAAGAUGAAGAAGAUGAAGAUGAAGAUGAAGGUGAAGAUGAAGAUGAAGAAGACAAUGAGGAACAUGAAAAAGAUGAAGAAGAUGAAGAUGAAGAUGAUAAAGAUGAAGAUGAAAAAGAUGGAGGUAAAGAGGAAGAUGAUGAAGAUGAAGAAGAUGAAGACAAAGUGGAAGAUGAUGAAAAUGAAGAUGAAAAUGAAGAGGAAGAUGAACAUGAAGAAGAUGAAGAUGAAGAAGAUGAAGAUGAAGGUGAAGAAGAUGAAGAAGAUGAAGAUGAAGAAGAUGAAGAUGAAGAUGAAGAAGAUGAAGAAGAUGAAGAAGAUGAAGAUGAAGAUGAAGAAGACGAUGACGAAGAUGAAGAUGCAGAAGAAGAAGAAGAUGAAGAUGAAGAAGAUGAAGAUGAAGAUGAAGAAGACGAUGACGAAGAUGAAGAUGAAGAAGAUGAAGGUGAAGAAGAUGAAGAUGAAGAAGAUGUAGAAGAUGAAGAUGAAGAUGAAGGUGAAGAAGAUGAAGAUGGAGAAGAUGAAGAUGAAGGUGAAGAAGAAGAUGAAGAACAUGAAGAAGACAAUGACGAAGAUGAAGAUGAAGAAGAUGAAGGUGAAGAAGAUGAAGAUGGAGAAGAUGAAGAAGAUGAAGAAGAUGAAGAAGAAGGUGAAGAAGACGAUGACGAAGAUGAAGAUGAAGAAGAUGAAGAAGAUGAAGAAGAUGAAGAUGAAGAUGAAGGUGAAGAAGAUGAAGAUGAAGACAAAGAAGAAAAAGAAGAUGAAGAAGAAGAUGAAGAAGACAAUGACGAAGAUGAAGAUGAAGAAGAUGAAGAACAUGAAGAUGAAGGUGAAGAAGAUGAAGAUGCAGAUGAAGACCACCCCCGUCUCCCCCGCUCACCAGUAGAAGACGCAGCUGACCUCCAGCCAGGUGAGGGCGCUCCUGUCCUGCCGCAGCCACCGCAGCCCCUCCUGCGCCCACCUGGACUGAGACCCCGCCCCCACCACCCCCUGGCCACGCCCCUUCCCCCAGGCCACGCCCAGGCGCCA